GGGGGACUGUUUAUUGACUGCCACCUACUUGCUUAAUAGGAUUCCAUCCAGAAUUCUUCACAACAAAUCUCCUUAUGAAAUACUGUAUGGCAAGGCCCCUACUUAUUCACAUUUAAGGGCAUUUGGCUGUCUUGCCUAUGCCACUGUACCCAUCCCACAGAGAGAUAAGCUGAAACCUAGAGCUAUUUCCUGUGUUUUUCUGGGAUAUCCCUUUGCCAAAAAGGGUUACAGGCUAUAUGACCUAACUAAUCAGCUCUCUCCUGUGUUUUUCUGGGAUAUCCUUUUGCAAAAAGGGCUACAGGCUAUAUGACCUUGCUACUAAGAAGUAUUUUGUGUCCAGGGAUGUUGUCUUUCAUGAAACCUGCUUUCCUUUUGACUCUGCUUCUGUUGUUCCUCAUGCUGCUUCUGUUUUCCCUCCUCCUCCUACUCCUUCCUCUGAUAUUCCCUGUGCUGAUUUUGUUUUGCCUGCUUCCCUUUGUUCUUCUCCUCCUGUUUCUUCCUAUUCUGCCCCCAGUCCUGCUUCUUCAUCACUUCCUUCCUCCCUUUCC
RNAcentral lists this long non-coding RNA (548 nucleotides) under Nicotiana benthamiana. RNAcentral's name for it is "long non-coding RNA (NBEN_LNC022986)". Lineage: Eukaryota; Viridiplantae; Streptophyta; Magnoliopsida; Solanales; Solanaceae. The record is from RNAcentral.